Macaca fascicularis (crab-eating macaque) is the source of this 148-nucleotide unclassified non-coding RNA. It matches the Rfam family "Metazoan signal recognition particle RNA". Rfam says of the family: The signal recognition particle (SRP) is a universally conserved ribonucleoprotein. It is involved in the co-translational targeting of proteins to membranes. Lineage: Eukaryota; Metazoa; Chordata; Mammalia; Primates; Cercopithecidae. The record is from Ensembl.
GCUGGGUGUGGUGGUGUACGCCUGUAGUCCCAGCUACUCAGGAGGCUGAGGCAGGAGAAUCACUUGAACCCAGGAGGCUGAGGUUGCAGUGAGCCAAGAUCCCGCCACUGCACUCCAGCCUGGGCGACAGAGCAAGACUCUGCCUCAA